RNAcentral lists this long non-coding RNA (802 nucleotides) under Lathyrus oleraceus (garden pea). RNAcentral describes it as "Pisum sativum (pea) long non-coding RNA (PSAT_LNC018357)". Lineage: Eukaryota; Viridiplantae; Streptophyta; Magnoliopsida; Fabales; Fabaceae. The record is from RNAcentral.
CGAUUGUGAGAUUGAGAGAAAUGUGAGGUUUGGUGUGAGGGAGAUUGUGAGAGUUGAUGAGCGUUUUCGAGAGCGGAGAGAGACUUCAUUGAGGUUCUUUGUGUGAAGCAGAUGGGGAGGACGAGGACGAUGAAGCUGCUUCUGUGUUCUCCGUUUCCAUUUUCUUGUUUUUUCUUUUUUAAUUCUUUUAUUAUAUAAUUUAUUUCAUUUUUAGCACAAAAAUCAGAAAAAUGUAUAUGUUCUUAUUUUCUUUUAUUAUUAUUAUUUAUUUUUUAUUUAGCUUAAUUUGUUUUUAACAGAGAUAUUAAAAAACCAUAAAAAUGUUUAUUUUGUUUUUUUUUAUUUUGUUAUAAAUUUGUUAGCCCAGUUCAUAUAUUUAUGGUAGUACCUCAAUAGCAGAUAGUGUUGAGUGGCCUAGUGGAGAGAGGGCAGUUGCAUAAUAUUAGGUGGGGAGGGUUCAAUACUCAUGUGUGGUACUUUUUGCUUUUUAUUUGAUUUUAUUUUCCUUUAGCAUUUUUUAUUCUUUUGGUAUUUUGUUAAUAUCUUUUUUUAUGUUUAUUAUAAUUUCAUUUGUUAGUAAAUGCAUAGUUCAAAAACCAUUUUUUUCAAACUAUAAAAAUCAUACUUUUCUCGAUUUAAUAUCGAGCCCCCUUUUUUUUUUACACCCUUGUAAGUCGAUUGCUUUUUAAGCAUCGUGUCGCAUCCUGCGAAAAAUCAACCGGCGAAGCUCGAAAACAAAACACACACAGAGCCGCCACUGCGCGUUAUUUAUCCCAAGAUAGGGAAAGGAAACGCUCAGAGA